RNAcentral lists this ribosomal RNA (118 nucleotides) under Panicum miliaceum (proso millet). RNAcentral also lists the same sequence under 1 other name. The record is from RNAcentral. Lineage: Eukaryota; Viridiplantae; Streptophyta; Magnoliopsida; Poales; Poaceae.
GGAUGCGAUCAUACCAGCACUAAAGCACCGGAUCCCAUCAGAACCCGAAGUUAAGCGUGCUUGGGCGAGAGUAGUACUAGGAUGGGUGACCUCCUGGGAAGUCCUCGUGUUGCAUUCC